AACCCAUAAUUGGGACAUUUCCUCAACAACACCUAGAAACGCUCCCAUGCCUCAUAAAAAGCCUCCUCAACACCUUGUCUGAAGGUAGAGAUUUCAAACUUAGAAU
This 106-nucleotide small nucleolar RNA is filed under the name Lupinus angustifolius (narrow-leaved blue lupine). RNAcentral's name for it is "Plant small nucleolar RNA R71". It matches the Rfam family "Plant small nucleolar RNA R71". From Rfam's summary of the family: R71 is a member of the C/D box family of snoRNAs containing the C (UGAUGA) and D (CUGA) box motifs. Multiple nearly identical copies of this snoRNA have been identified in Arabidopsis, and it is thought to function as a 2'-O-ribose methylation guide for 18S ribosomal RNA. The record is from Rfam by way of RNAcentral. Lineage: Eukaryota; Viridiplantae; Streptophyta; Magnoliopsida; Fabales; Fabaceae.